RNAcentral lists this ribosomal RNA (253 nucleotides) under uncultured bacterium. Its description in RNAcentral is "partial 16S ribosomal RNA". It matches the Rfam family "Bacterial small subunit ribosomal RNA", at positions 524 to 776 of the family's 1533-position model. The record is from RNAcentral.
UACAGAGGGGGCAAGCGUUAUUCGGAAUUAUUGGGCGUAAAGGGCGCGUAGGCGGCUUUUCAAGUGACGGGUGAAAUCCCUCGGCUUAACCGAGGAACUGCCUGUCAAACUGCAUGGCUUGAGACCGGGAGAGGUGAGUGGAAUUCCCAGUGUAGCGGUGAAAUGCGUAGAUAUUGGGAGGAACACCAGUGGCGAAGGCGGCUCACUGGACCGGUACUGACGCUGAUGCGCGAAAGCGUGGGGAGCAAACAGG